RNAcentral lists this long non-coding RNA (940 nucleotides) under Sipha flava (yellow sugarcane aphid). Its description in RNAcentral is "uncharacterized LOC112685017, transcript variant X2". Lineage: Eukaryota; Metazoa; Arthropoda; Insecta; Hemiptera; Aphididae. The record is from RNAcentral.
UGUUUACGUCGUUCCGAUAACGGCCAUGGUCAUUAGUUUACAUUUUUCUUACAACCAUUUUGUUACUAAAUAAUAUUCGUCGUUCAGCUUCCGUCCGAAUACCAAUUUCGAUUCAGUUAAUUUUUUUUCGCAAUCAUCAUCAGUAUUAUGCUCGUGCGUAUACUGCUCGUUCAAAAACAAUGUACGGUGGUCCGAUUGAAAUGCAACUUUUGGUUCAAAAAAUUUGUUGGUAACAUUUUAGAAGUCUCGAGGAUCACGUUAGUGAUACGGUACAUUUGUAAUAUGCCACAUAUUACCAAUUAAAAUAAUAAAAUGUUACACGUAAAAAUCGAACAAUAUGUAAUAUGCCUGAUGCUAAACAGAAGGGAACGAGCUACAGGAGGCCAUCCACCAGUGUAUAAAUAGAGCUUUGGAUCAACACAUGUCCAGUUAAUUAGUACAAACACCCCGCUUAUGAUUGUCAUUUUCAUGUUAUUGUUGCCUAUGCUGAUUUCUGUCUAAACAUUAAUUGUUACAUGAUCCAGUAUUCGGCAGCAUAUAACACAGUCAUCAAUGAGUAUCAUGACUGUGCCAUCGUAUCGUUUGACAAUAGUUUCAUAGAAUCAUAUCAGAUGUAUUUAAUGGCCAACAAAAAUCCUUAGGGUAUGAUCCAUUGUUGUUCGAUCAAUCAAUUGAUUUGAAGAAAUAAUACAUUUUGUCAGUUCUAACAAAAAAUAUGACACAUGGGCUCUUGAAUAAUUACUAAUGGUAGUUGGAUUAACUUUUGUUUUAUACAAAUAGUUUACGUGUUGUUUAAAAUUAUGAAGAAUACCCAAAGCUGUAAUAGGAUAAAUAUAAAAUUUUUGUAAGCCGUCAAUUAAGAAGAUCCAAAAUAUUGUUACUUAAAGCAUACAUAAUUUUUACUUAUAAUUAACGAUUCUUAGGUUAGAUAUUUAGUUUA